UUCGUAAAAGGGUGUUGUACGUACGAUCUAACGAUCAUCAGAAGAUAAAUUUUUUUCUUUUCUUUUUGUUCCGACAAGGUCCUGGUUUAAGUCAUAAACUUCGGAUCGCACCCACAGGUAAAACAAGCCGCUACCGUUGCUGGAGGCCAGGGCCAAGUAGCCGCGCCUUGAGGGUGUCCGAUGCGCUGGAGACGACGCUGGACGUCCGCGUCGCCUUGCGGUGCAGCGACGAGUUUACGGACGAGAAGCGGGAUGGACGCGAGGAGCAGGACCGACGGCCGCACGAGGAGCACGAUGCGAAGCGGCAGUGGGGCGUCCAGUUCCGGAUGCAGCUCCUGCGGGCAGAGUAGUCGAAGCAGGAGCACCUGUGUGCUGGACGGAGCCGCCGCUGGUGUCCCGGCAGAAAGGAGAUGUUGCACAGGUAGAGCCAGCGGGACUGUCAAGCAUUGUGGUUACCUCGAUACCGGUAGUUCAUGUGUUUCGGGGAGCACCGGUGGAAGGAGAAGGUGCUGGCCGCAGACAUGUUGCAAUGGCACCGCCUGCUCCCCGUGUCCGUGUCCGGCGAGUUCUCCCUCGACGUGGAGGAGGUCUGGCGGCCCCUCUGGGGCACGCACGAGCUGCGCCGCCCCCCGCUCCUCAAGUACUUCGUCUUACGCUGCCCCCACUAGUUUCACCUCUACGCGGAGAGACCUGCCUAGUGAGAGCCGUAACCGUUGUCCGCGGACGACCUCGAGUCGACGGGCGAGUGCGACGUUGCGGGCGGCGGCCCGGGGCUACAGCAGCACAAGGGACUCCAGCUGACGUAUGGACUGUUCGGGUUCUUUUAGCAGAAGACUGCCUUGUAGUUCACAGAUAUCAAACCUUAUAAAGAACUCGUAAAGUCGUACGUAUAUAAGUAUAAGGGAGACCAGAAAAAUGAGGCGCAUAUUCUAGAGAGACUUUAGUUUGAAGUUUUUCAAACUAGUUAAAAUAUCUUUUUUUAUAGAUGUAGAUAUUAUGAUUACAAUGUGUUAUACUCUCAAUUUAAGUAUUACAUAGAUAACUAUAUCUAAAGCAUAACAUUUACAAAAAUGAAAAAAAUAUUUUUUACCCAGUUUGGCAUACUUAAAACUGAAGUUUGUUUAGAAUAUACGCUUCAUUAUUCCUGGCUUUCAUCGUUACUGGGCGGUGAUCCGUUCAAUAACUGGUGGGCCAAAUACUCCAUAAAACAUUUUGUCACUGG
This 1222-nucleotide ribosomal RNA is filed under the name Triticum aestivum (bread wheat). RNAcentral describes it as "partial small subunit ribosomal RNA". Lineage: Eukaryota; Viridiplantae; Streptophyta; Magnoliopsida; Poales; Poaceae. The record is from RNAcentral.